UGGAAACACAUGUAGUUGGGAUGUUGAUAAUAAAGGUGGCAGGGGUAAUGGAAGUGGUGGGACAAAAAAUCGGAAAAUCUCCUGAAGAUUAAAAUAUCAUGACGUGGUCACUGAGCCGAUACCAUCUCGGCAAUGACCCUGAUGGACGAGCCAUCUUAUAACUCGUAAGGAAACGUUUUACAUUCUUGUUUCACGUUCACUACAUAGCCAAAUGCCUCAUCAUCUAAUUAGUGACAUGCAUGAAUGGAUGAACGAGAUUCCCACUGUCCCUACCUACUAUCCAGGGAAACCACAGCCAAGGGAAUGGCCUUGGCAGAAUCACCAGGGAAAGAAGACCCCGUUGAGCUAGACUCUAGUCUGGUGCUGUGAAGAGACAUGAGAGGUAUAGAAUAAAUGGGAGGCAGAGAGCAUGCUUGGCGCGGCGACCCGUCCGCUGUUGAAAUACCACUACUCUGAUGGUUUUUUUCACUUACCCGGUGAGGUGGGGGGUGAGCCCCGAGGGGGGCUCUUGCUUCUGGUGCCAAGUGCCCGCAGGUGGGGAGUUUGACUGGGGCGG
RNAcentral lists this non-coding RNA (556 nucleotides) under Merops nubicus (carmine bee-eater). RNAcentral describes it as "Eukaryotic large subunit ribosomal RNA". It matches the Rfam family "Eukaryotic large subunit ribosomal RNA", at positions 2235 to 2633 of the family's 3401-position model. The record is from Rfam by way of RNAcentral. Lineage: Eukaryota; Metazoa; Chordata; Aves; Coraciiformes; Meropidae.